This 521-nucleotide ribosomal RNA is filed under the name Sphingomonas glacialis. Its description in RNAcentral is "bacterial SSU rRNA". It matches the Rfam family "Bacterial small subunit ribosomal RNA", at positions 152 to 707 of the family's 1533-position model. Lineage: Bacteria; Pseudomonadati; Pseudomonadota; Alphaproteobacteria; Sphingomonadales; Sphingomonadaceae. The record is from RNAcentral.
GGAAACGACUGCUAAUACCGGAUGAUGACGUAAGUCCAAAGAUUUAUCGCCUAGGGAUGAGCCCGCGUAGGAUUAGCUAGUUGGUGUGGUAAAGGCGCACCAAGGCGACGAUCCUUAGCUGGUCUGAGAGGAUGAUCAGCCACACUGGGACUGAGACACGGCCCAGACUCCUACGGGAGGCAGCAGUGGGGAAUAUUGGACAAUGGGCGAAAGCCUGAUCCAGCAAUGCCGCGUGAGUGAUGAAGGCCUUAGGGUUGUAAAGCUCUUUUACCCGGGAUGAUAAUGACAGUACCGGGAGAAUAAGCUCCGGCUAACUCCGUGCCAGCAGCCGCGGUAAUACGGAGGGAGCUAGCGUUAUUCGGAAUUACUGGGCGUAAAGCGCACGUAGGCGGCUUUGUAAGUAAGAGGUGAAAGCCUGGUGCUCAACACCAGAACUGCCUUUUAGACUGCAUCGCUUGAAUCCAGGAGAGGUGAGUGGAAUUCCGAGUGUAGAGGUGAAAUUCGUAGAUAUUCGGAAGAAC